RNAcentral lists this ribosomal RNA (327 nucleotides) under uncultured eukaryote. RNAcentral describes it as "partial 18S ribosomal RNA". It matches the Rfam family "Eukaryotic small subunit ribosomal RNA", at positions 1470 to 1796 of the family's 1831-position model. The record is from RNAcentral.
CCCUUAGAUGUUCUGGGCCGCACGCGCGCUACACUGACGAAUGCAACGAGCUUAUAACCUUGGCCGAAAGGUCUGGGUAAUCUCCAAAUUUCGUCGUGAUGGGGAUAGAUUAUUGCAAUUAUUAACCUUCAACGAGGAAUGCCUAGUAAGCGCAAGUCAUCAGCUUGCGUUGAUUACGUCCCUGCCCUUUGUACACACCGCCCGUCGCUCCUACCGAUUGAAUGGUCCGGUGAAGCGUUCGGACCGUGGCCUUUGGACGGUUCGCCGUCUGUUGGCUGCGGGAAGUUCGUUAAACCUUAUCAUUUAGAGGAAGGAGAAGUCGUAACA